This 224-nucleotide long non-coding RNA is filed under the name Dermacentor andersoni. RNAcentral describes it as "uncharacterized LOC126518973". Lineage: Eukaryota; Metazoa; Arthropoda; Arachnida; Ixodida; Ixodidae. The record is from RNAcentral.
CUCGCAAUGCUUUGUUUUAAUUAGACAGUCGGAUUCCCCCGGUCCGUGCCAGUUCUGAGUUGGCCGUUUUCUGCCGGCCGAAGCAAGAACCUCAGGCGCGAAGCCCACGGAAAAUGCACAGCUGUGGCUUUCCACAGGAAGGUCCCGACGCUGGUCCGGGCUCGGCCGCACCGCUUUUUACGGCGGCGAGCCUCGCCCAGUCCCGGUGCAGUGCCGUUCCUGCU